This 496-nucleotide ribosomal RNA is filed under the name uncultured bacterium. Its description in RNAcentral is "partial 16S ribosomal RNA". It matches the Rfam family "Bacterial small subunit ribosomal RNA", at positions 30 to 523 of the family's 1533-position model. The record is from RNAcentral.
AUUGAACGCUGGCGGAAUGCUUUACACAUGCAAGUCGAACGGUAGAGGGGGCAACCCCUCGAGAGUGGCGAACGGGUGAGUAAUAUAUCGGAACGUGCCCAGUCGUGGGGGAUAACGUAGCGAAAGUUACGCUAAUACCGCAUACGAUCUAUGGAUGAAAGCGGGGGAUCGCAAGACCUCGCGCGAUUGGAGCGGCCGAUAUCAGAUUAGGUAGUUGGUGGGGUAAAGGCCCACCAAGCCAACGAUCUGUAGCUGGUCUGAGAGGACGACCGGCCACACUGGAACUGAGACACGGUCCAGACUCCUACGGGAGGCAGCAGUGGGGAAUUUUGGACAAUGGGCGAAAGCCUGAUCCAGCCAUUCCGCGUGCAGGAUGAAGGCCCUCGGGUUGUAAACUGCUUUUGUACAGAACGAAAAGGUUUCUACUAAUACUAGAAGCUCAUGACGGUACUGUAAGAAUAAGCACCGGCUAACUACGUGCCAGCCGCCGCCGCGG